This 242-nucleotide ribosomal RNA is filed under the name uncultured bacterium. RNAcentral describes it as "partial 16S ribosomal RNA". It matches the Rfam family "Bacterial small subunit ribosomal RNA", at positions 333 to 589 of the family's 1533-position model. The record is from RNAcentral.
AUAUGCCUACGGGGGGCAGCAGUGGGGGAUAUUGCACAAUGGGGGAAACCCUGAUGCAGCGACGCCGCGUGAGUGAAGAAGUAUUUCGGUAUGUAAAGCUCUAUCGGCAGGGAAGAAAAAAAUGACAGUACCUGACUAAGAAGCCCCGGCUAACUACGUGCCAGCAGCCGCGGUAAUACGUAGGGGGCAAGCGUUAUCCGGAGUUACUGGGGGUAAAGGGGGCGUAGGCGGGCACGCAAGUC